Molecule: ribosomal RNA, 253 nt
Filed under: uncultured bacterium
Lineage: Bacteria
Description: partial 16S ribosomal RNA
Rfam family: Bacterial small subunit ribosomal RNA
Source: RNAcentral
UACGUACGGAGCAAGCGUUAUCCGGAUUUACUGGGCGUAAAGGGAGCGUAGGCGGCCUGCCAAGUCUGAUGUGAAAUACCGGGGCUCAACCCCGGGGCUGCAUUGGAAACUGGCAGGCUGGAGUGCCGGAGAGGCAGGCGGAAUGCGCGGUGUAGCGGUGAAAUGCUUAGAUAUCGCGCAGAACCCCGAUUGCGAAGGCAGCGUACCGGCUCCACACUGACGCUGAGGCACGAAAGCGUGGGUAUCGAACAGG